This 409-nucleotide ribosomal RNA is filed under the name bacterium. RNAcentral's name for it is "partial 16S ribosomal RNA". It matches the Rfam family "Bacterial small subunit ribosomal RNA", at positions 355 to 776 of the family's 1533-position model. The record is from RNAcentral.
UGGGGAAUAUUGCACAAUGGGCGAAAGCCUGAUGCAGCGACGCCGCGUGAGGGAUGACGGCCUUCGGGUUGUAAACCUCUUUCAGCAGGGACGAAGCGCAAGUGACGGUACCUGCAGAAGAAGCACCGGCUAACUACGUGCCAGCAGCCGCGGUAAUACGUAGGGUGCAAGCGUGGUCCGGAAUUACUGGGCGUAAAGAGUUCGGAGGCGGUUUGUCGCGUCGUUUGUGAAAACCAGCAGCUCAACUGCUGGCUUGCAGGCGAUACGGGCAGACUUGAGUACUGCAGGGGAGGCGGGAAUUCCUGGUGUAGCGGAGAAAUGCGCAGAUAUCAGGAGGAACACCGGUGGCGAAGGCGGGUCUCUGGGCAGUAACUGACGCCGAGGAACGAAAGCGUGGGUAGCGAACAGG